UGGGGAAUAUUGCACAAUGGGCGCAAGCCUGAUGCAGCCAUGCCGCGUGUGUGAAGAAGGCCUUCGGGGUGUAAAGCACUUUCAGCGGGGAGGAAGGCGAUAAGGUUAAUAACCUUGCCGAGUGACGUUACCCGCAGAAGAAGCACCGGCUAACUCCGUGCCAGCAGCCGCGGUAAUACGGAGGGUGCAAGCGUUAAUCGGAAUUACUGGGCGUAAAGCGCACGCGGGCGGUCUGUCAAGUCGGAUGUGAAAUCCCCGGGCUGAACCUGGGAACUGCAUUCGAAACUGGCAGGCUAGAGUCUUGUAGAGGGGGGUAGAAUUCCAGGUGUAGCGGUGAAAUGCGUAGAGAUCUGGGGGAAUACCGGUGGCGAAGGCGGCCCCCUGGACAAAGACUGACGCUCCGGUGCGAAAGCGUGGGGAGCAAACAGG
RNAcentral lists this ribosomal RNA (429 nucleotides) under Chloroflexota bacterium. RNAcentral describes it as "Chloroflexi bacterium partial 16S ribosomal RNA". It matches the Rfam family "Bacterial small subunit ribosomal RNA", at positions 355 to 776 of the family's 1533-position model. The record is from RNAcentral. Lineage: Bacteria; Bacillati; Chloroflexota.